CCUUUGACGUUAGCGGCGGACGGGUGAGUAACACGUGGGUAACCUACCUAUAAGACUGGGAUAACUUCGGGAAACCGGAGCUAAUACCGGAUAAUAUUUCGAACCGCAUGGUUCGAUAGUGAAAGAUGGUUUUGCUAUCACUUAUAGAUGGACCCGCGCCGUAUUAGCUAGUUUGUAAGGUAACGGCUUACCAAGGCGACGAUACGUAGCCGACCUGAGAGGGUGAUCGGCCACACUGGAACUGAGACACGGUCCAGACUCCUACGGGAGGCAGCAGAC
This 279-nucleotide ribosomal RNA is filed under the name uncultured Staphylococcus sp. RNAcentral's name for it is "partial 16S ribosomal RNA". It matches the Rfam family "Bacterial small subunit ribosomal RNA", at positions 83 to 354 of the family's 1533-position model. Lineage: Bacteria; Bacillati; Bacillota; Bacilli; Caryophanales; Staphylococcaceae. The record is from RNAcentral.